AGAGAGUACACAUAAGGCCGGCAUCCUCGGUUAUCAUAAGAAGUACUCAACUCCUUCACGGCAUUCAGAUGAUAGGAACAUAUGGAAAUAAAUAGGAACUUCAAGGAUGCAAGAAUGAAAGCUUCAGGCCAAAGAGAUGCUCCACCACAUUGAGAACAAACCCUCUGAAAAUGGGUUGUUCACACUCGCCAUCAGAAGCUGUAUAGUCAAGAAGAGUGUCUGUUCCCAGAGGCCUCAAAGCACAAGCUGCACUCAAGCUUGCUCACCGUUAGCUUCUGCUUCCUCUUUGAUGUUCAAGAUGUGAACUUUCAUCUGCUGCUCCAGUCACCUGUUACCACCUCUCCAACAUCAUGGACUCCAGUCUUGUGAAACCAUUAGCCCCAAAUAAACACUUUUUUCUAUAA
RNAcentral lists this long non-coding RNA (404 nucleotides) under Cricetulus griseus (Chinese hamster). RNAcentral's name for it is "lncRNA (ENSCGRG00015034836.1)". Lineage: Eukaryota; Metazoa; Chordata; Mammalia; Rodentia; Cricetidae. The record is from RNAcentral.